RNAcentral lists this ribosomal RNA (440 nucleotides) under uncultured bacterium. RNAcentral's name for it is "partial 16S ribosomal RNA". It matches the Rfam family "Bacterial small subunit ribosomal RNA", at positions 338 to 795 of the family's 1533-position model. The record is from RNAcentral.
CCUACGGGAGGCAGCAGUGGGGAAUAUUGCACAAUGGGGGAAACCCUGAUGCAGCGACGCCGCGUGAGUGAAGAAGUAUUUCGGUACGUAAAGCUCUAUCAGCAGUGAAGAAAAUGACGGUAACUCACUACCACGCCCCGGCUACCUCCGUCCAAGCAGCCGCGGUAAUACGUAGGGGGCAAGCGUUAUCCGGAUUUACUGGGUGUAAAGGGAGCGUAGACGGCAGCGCAAGUCUGGAGUGAAAUCCCAUGGCUUAACCAUGGAACUGCUUUGGAAACUGUGCAGCUAGAGUGCAGGAGAGGUAAGCGGAAUUCCUAGUGUAGCGGUGAAAUGCGUAGAUAUUAGGAGGAACACCAGUGGCGAAGGCGGCUUACUGGACUGUAACUGACGUUGAGGCUCGAAAGCGUGGGGAGCAAACAGGAUUAGAUACCCGAGUAGUC